This 1221-nucleotide ribosomal RNA is filed under the name Philaenus tesselatus. Its description in RNAcentral is "SSU rRNA". It matches the Rfam family "Eukaryotic small subunit ribosomal RNA", at positions 669 to 1789 of the family's 1831-position model. Lineage: Eukaryota; Metazoa; Arthropoda; Insecta; Hemiptera; Aphrophoridae. The record is from RNAcentral.
GUGUUCCACGCUGUCGGUUCGCCGCCCGUCGGUGUUAACUGGCAUGCCUGUGGAACGUCCUGCCGGUGGCGGUCCGGGCUCUCGGUGAGCGUAGGGUUCGCCUGAAGCUGGUCUUGUAGUUCCGGCCGCCGGUCAUAUCCCGCCACGGUGCUCUUCACCGAGUGUCGAGGUGGGCCGGCACGUUUACUUUGAACAAAUUAGAGUGCUUAAAGCAGGCUUGUGUCCGCCUGAAUACUGUGUGCAUGGAAUAAUGGAAUAGGAUCUCGGUUCUAUUUUGUUGGUUUUCGGAACCCGAGGUAAUGAUUAAUAGGGACAGGCGGGGGCAUUCGUAUUGCGACGUUAGAGGUGAAAUUCUUGGAUCGUCGCAAGACGAACCUAAGCGAAAGCAUUUGCCAAGUAUGUCCUCGUUAAUCAAGAACGAAAGUUAGAGGUUCGAAGGCGAUCAGAUACCGCCCUAGUUCUAACCAUAAACGAUGCCAGCCAGCGAUCCGCCGACGUUCCUCCGAUGACUCGGCGGGCAGCUUCCGGGAAACCAAAGCUUUUGGGUUCCGGGGGAAGUAUGGUUGCAAAGCUGAAACUUAAAGGAAUUGACGGAAGGGCACCACCAGGAGUGGAGCCUGCGGCUUAAUUUGACUCAACACGGGAAACCUCACCAGGCCCGGACACCGGAAGGAUUGACAGAUUGAGAGCUCUUUCUUGAUUCGGUGGGUGGUGGUGCAUGGCCGUUCUUAGUUGGUGGAGCGAUUUGUCUGGUUAAUUCCGAUAACGAACGAGACUCUAGCCUGCUAACUAGGCGAUUUCCGGUACCCACAAUAGUGUUACCGGCGAUUCAAUUUCUUCUUAGAGGGACAGGCGGCUCCUAGCCGCACGAGACUGAGCAAUAACAGGUCUGUGAUGCCCUUAGAUGUCCUGGGCCGCACGCGCGCUACACUGAAGGAUUCAGCGUGUCUUCCCUGGCCGACAGGCCCGGGUAACCCGUUGAACCUCCUUCGUGCUAGGGAUUGGGGCUUGCAAUUUUUCCCCAUGAACGAGGAAUUCCCAGUAAGCGCGAGUCAUAAGCUCGCGUUGAUUACGUCCCUGCCCUUUGUACACACCGCCCGUCGCUACUACCGAUUGAAUGAUUUAGUGAGGUCUUCGGACUGGUGCGCGGCGAUCGUCUCGUACGGCCGCCGAUGUUGCCGGAAAGAUGACCAAACUUGAUCAUUUAGAGGAAGUAAAAGU